RNAcentral lists this ribosomal RNA (447 nucleotides) under uncultured bacterium. RNAcentral describes it as "partial 16S ribosomal RNA". It matches the Rfam family "Bacterial small subunit ribosomal RNA", at positions 29 to 523 of the family's 1533-position model. The record is from RNAcentral.
AACGAACGCUGGCGGCAUGCCUAACACAUGCAAGUCGAACGAGGGCUUCGGCCUUAGUGGCGCACGGGUGAGUAACACGUGGGAACCUGCCUUUCGGUUCGGGAUAACGUCUGGAAACGGACGCUAACACCGGAUACGCCCUUCGGGGGAAAGUUUACGCCGAGAGAGGGGCCCGCGCCCGAUUAGGUAGUUGGUGGGGUAACGGCCUACCAAGCCGACGAUCGGUAGCUGGUCUGAGAGGAUGAUCAGCCACACUGGGACUGAGACACGGCCCAGACUCCUACGGGAGGCAGCAGUGGGGAAUAUUGGACAAUGGGGGCAACCCUGAUCCAGCAAUGCCGCGUGAGUGAUGAAGGCCUUCGGGUUGUAAAGCUCUUUCGCACGCGACGAUGAUGACGGUAGCGUGAGAAGAAGCCCCGGCUAACUUCGUGCCAGCAGCCGCAGUAA